GCCGCCAUGGUGAAAUUGGUAGACACGCUGCUCUUAGGAAGCAGUGCUAACUGCAUCUCGGUUCAAGUCCGAGUGGCGGCA
Molecule: transfer RNA, 81 nt
Filed under: Juncus validus
Lineage: Eukaryota; Viridiplantae; Streptophyta; Magnoliopsida; Poales; Juncaceae
Description: tRNA-Leu
Rfam family: tRNA
About the family: Transfer RNA (tRNA) molecules are approximately 80 nucleotides in length. Their secondary structure includes four short double-helical elements and three loops (D, anti-codon, and T loops). Further hydrogen bonds mediate the characteristic L-shaped molecular structure. tRNAs have two regions of fundamental functional importance: the anti-codon, which is responsible for specific mRNA codon recognition, and the 3' end, to which the tRNAs corresponding amino acid is attached (by aminoacyl-tRNA synthetases). tRNAs cope with the degeneracy of the genetic code in two manners: having more than one tRNA (with a specific anti-codon) for a particular amino acid; and 'wobble' base-pairing, i.e. permitting non-standard base-pairing at the 3rd anti-codon position.
Source: RNAcentral